This is a long non-coding RNA of Oncorhynchus keta (chum salmon), 1947 nucleotides long. RefSeq lists it as uncharacterized. The record is from RefSeq and is a predicted model, not a curated record. NCBI's taxonomy places the organism in Eukaryota, Metazoa, Chordata, Actinopteri, Salmoniformes, Salmonidae. The transcript has 3 exons.
AUUCACUCUGAUGUCCUCUGCCUGGGCUGGCUGAGCUGUGCAUGUUGAAACAUGCCUCGACUUGUACUGGCUCGCCUGGCCGAGGAAGGAGAGAGGGCAAGGCUCUCAACGGUUUCACCAUGCCCUGCUUGAAGUGACCCUCUGGGCAGACAAACAGGAACCAGCAGAGCUGCUCAACUCUGGCAGUUGACUGUCCUGGACACUCAAGAGUGGACGGACACACUGAACAGAACCAGAACAGGACCCUGGAUCUUCAGCUGUAGCCAGUCUAUAAUCUGUCCUCGAUCCAAACACUACUUUACUGCCUAGCUCUUGGGGAUUCCCCUUCAAAGUGAAACCUCCUCUUCAUCAGCCGAGACAGCAGGCUUCCUCCACUUACCUACCAGCUGCCACAGAGGAACCACAACAUUUAUCAAGGUGGGAAGCAGGCAGACUUGGAAUGAAAAUCACAGGAGGACGACCUCACUAUACCCCCUUCGAGGCGGACACCUAUUGAACUGACCAUUCUCUGACAACGUCACCGGGUCGGACCUGACAGUGACCACUGUGAGUGUGUGUGUGUGUGUGUGUGUGUGUGUGUGUGUGUGUGUGUGUGUGUGUGUGUGUGUGUGUGUGUGUGUGUGUGUGGAGGGGGGGGUUCCCUGUUGGAAACAUAGCAGUGGGAAACUGUACCAACCAGUGAAGAUGAAGAGGCCAGUAAACACAGAAUCUGCUGGAUGGAUGUGGCUGCUGGGAGUGUUUCUCUGGCAGUGUCUUAGCUGGUUGUUGUGAGGGAGAGAACGAAGCAAUCAGCAAGUAUACUGCCGCAGAAACUCUUCGCACUACAAGCCCAGGCCCCUGGAAUCAGCAAGAAGGCCAUUGGCCCCCUGGAAUCAGCAAGAAGGCCAUUGGCCCCCUAGAAUCAGCAAGAAGGCCAUUGGCCCCCUGGAAUCAGCAAGAAGGCCAUUGGCCCCCUAGAAUCAGCAAGAAGGCCAUUGGCCCCCUGGAAUCAGCAAGAAGACCAUUGGCCCCCUGGAAUCAGCAAGUAGGCCAUUGGCCCCCUGGAAUCAGCAAGAAGGCCAUUGGCCCCCUGGAAUCAGCAAGAAGGCCAUUGGCCCCCUGGAAUCAGCAAGAAGGCCAUUGGCCCCCUGGAAUCAGCAAGUAGGCCAUUGGCCCCCUGGAAUCAGCAAGUAGGCCAUUGCCCCCCUGGAAUCAGCAAGAAGGCCAUUGGCCCCCUGGAAUCAGCAAGAAGGCCAUUGGCCCCCUGGAAUCAGCAAGAAGGCCAUUGGCCCCUGGAAUCAGCAAGUAGGCCAUUGGCCCCCUGGAAUCAGCAAGAAGGCCAUUGGCCCCCUGGAAUCAGCAAGAAGGCCAUUGGCCCCCUGGAAUCAGCAAGUAGGCCAUUGGCCCCCUGGAAUCAGCAAGUAGGCCAUUGCCCCCCUGGAAUCAGCAAGAAGGCCAUUGGCCCCCUGGAAUCAGCAAGAAGGCCAUUGGCCCCCUGGAAUCAGCAAGUAGGCCAUUGGCCCCCUGGAAUCAGCAAGAAGGCCAUUGCCCCCCUGGAAUCAGCAAGAAGGCCAUUGGCCCCCUGGCUCUCAGAUGUCAUUCCCCCAGAGCGACAGAAGGAAUGAGGAAGAGAAGAGCACUAUUUUUAGUAUGAUUAGUACCACUGGACUCAUGACGGAUGAUAGACUGAUGAUGCUUUUGGUAUAUGGUGACAUUGUGUGUAUAACAUGAGUGCGUGCUAUUCUGUUUGAAGCCAAUGCAAUCCUCUAUCGCCAUCUUGUGGCUCAAAUGUUAAAUUGAACCAAAUUGGACAGCGAUAAUGUGUUGAUGUGUUAUUAGGUUAUUACAGUAAUUACCGGUUUGUAUCUCUUAAAAUAUAUAUUUGCAAUGAUUUUUGCAAUCACUUGGUCUGGGUUAUUGAAAAUAAACAGAAAAUAUUGAAAAAUAAACUGUCAAUAUAGUAACAUC